This 542-nucleotide ribosomal RNA is filed under the name uncultured archaeon. RNAcentral describes it as "bacterial SSU rRNA". It matches the Rfam family "Archaeal small subunit ribosomal RNA", at positions 457 to 997 of the family's 1478-position model. The record is from RNAcentral.
GUCAGCAGCCGCGGUAACACCGGCGGCCCGAGUGGUGAUCGUGAUUAUUGGGUCUAAAGGGUCCGUAGCCGGUUUGGUCAGUCCUCCGGGAAAUCUGAUAGCUCAACUAUUAGGCUUUCGGGGGAUACUGCCAGACUUGGAACCGGGAGAGGUAAGAGGUACUACAGGGGUAGGAGUGAAAUCUUGUAAUCCCUGUGGGACCACCUGUGGCGAAGGCGUCUUACCAGAACGGGUUCGACGGUGAGGGGCGAAAGCUGGGGGCACGAACCGGAUUAGAUACCCGGGUAGUCCCAGCCGUAAACGAUGCUCGCUAGGUGUCAGGCAUGGCGCGACCGUGUCUGGUGCCGCAGGGAAGCCGUGAAGCGAGCCACCUGGGAAGUACGGCCGCAAGGCUGAAACUUAAAGGAAUUGGCGGGGGAGCACAACAACGGGUGGAGCCCUGCGGUUUAAUUGGACUCAACGCCGGACAACUCACCGGGGGCGACAGCAAUAUGUAGGCCAAGCUGAAGACUUUGCCUGAAUCGCUGAGAAGAGGUGCAUGG